RNAcentral lists this ribosomal RNA (253 nucleotides) under uncultured bacterium. RNAcentral describes it as "partial 16S ribosomal RNA". It matches the Rfam family "Bacterial small subunit ribosomal RNA", at positions 524 to 776 of the family's 1533-position model. The record is from RNAcentral.
UACGGGGGGGGCAAGCGUUGUUCGGAAUUACUGGGCGUAAAGGGCUCGUAGGCGGCCAACUAAGUCAGACGUGAAAUCCCUCGGCUUAACCGGGGAGCUGCAUCUGAUACUGGAUGGCUUGAGUUCGGGAGAGGGAUGCGGAAUUCCAGGUGUAGCGGUGAAAUGCGUAGAUAUCUGGAGGAACACCGGUGGCGAAGGCGGCAUCCUGGACCGACACUGACGCUGAGGCACGAAAGCGUGGGGAGCAAACAGG